AGCUUUGCGCAGUGGCAGUAUCAUAGCCAAUGAGGUUUAUCUGAGGCGCAAUUAUUGCUAAUUGAAAGCUGACGGGGCUGGGGAUUUAGCUCAGUGGCACAGCGCCUGCCUGGCAAGCAUGAGGUCGUCAGUUCGA
This 136-nucleotide small nuclear RNA is filed under the name Chinchilla lanigera (long-tailed chinchilla). RNAcentral describes it as "U4 spliceosomal RNA (ENSCLAG00000020778.1)". The stretch from base 1 to 73 matches the Rfam family "U4 spliceosomal RNA". From Rfam's summary of the family: U4 small nuclear RNA (U4 snRNA) is a component of the major U2-dependent spliceosome. The structure of U4 snRNA from yeast and human has been reported. The record is from RNAcentral. Lineage: Eukaryota; Metazoa; Chordata; Mammalia; Rodentia; Chinchillidae.